This 19-nucleotide non-coding RNA is filed under the name Arabidopsis thaliana (thale cress). The record is from RNAcentral. Lineage: Eukaryota; Viridiplantae; Streptophyta; Magnoliopsida; Brassicales; Brassicaceae.
GGAGGGAUGGCUGAGUGGC